Molecule: ribosomal RNA, 484 nt
Filed under: uncultured bacterium
Lineage: Bacteria
Description: partial 16S ribosomal RNA
Rfam family: Bacterial small subunit ribosomal RNA
Source: RNAcentral
AUUGAACGCUGGCGGCAGGCCUGACACAUGCAAGUCGAGCGGAUGAAGGGAGCUUGCUCCUGGAUUCAGCGGCGGACGGGUGAGUAAUGCCUAGGAAUCUGCCUGGUAGUGGGGGAUAACGUCCGGAAACGGGCGCUAAUACCGCAUACGUCCUGAGGGAGAAAGUGGAGGAUCUUCGGACCUCACGCUAUCAGAUGAGCCUAGGUCGGAUUAGCUAGUUGGUGGGGUAAAGGCCUACCAAGGCGACGAUCCGUAACUGGUCUGAGAGGAUGAUCAGUCACACUGGAACUGAGACACGGUCCAGACUCCUACGGGAGGCAGCAGUGGGGAAUAUUGGACAAUGGGCGAAAGCCUGAUCCAGCCAUGCCGCGUGUGUGAAGAAGGUCUUCGGAUUGUAAAGCACUUUAAGUUGGGAGGAAGGGCAGUAAGUUAAUACCUUGCUGUUUUGACGUUACCAACAGAAUAAGCACCGGCUAACUUCGUG